This 260-nucleotide ribosomal RNA is filed under the name uncultured bacterium. Its description in RNAcentral is "partial 16S ribosomal RNA". It matches the Rfam family "Bacterial small subunit ribosomal RNA", at positions 524 to 776 of the family's 1533-position model. The record is from RNAcentral.
UACGAAGGGUGCAAACGUUGCUCGGAAUCAUUGGGCGUAAAGCGCACGUAGGCGGCUUCGCAAGUCGGAUGUGAAAUCCCUCGGCUCAACCGAGGACGUGCAUCCGAAACUGCGGAGCUUGAGUACUGAAGAGGAUCGCGGAAUUCCCGGUGUAGAGGUGAAAUGCGUAGAUAUCAGGAGGAACACCCGUGGUGGUGUAGAUCAGCUUACGUCGGACCAUUUCUGACGCUGAGACACGAAAAGCGUGGGUAGCAAACAGG